Long non-coding RNA from Lolium rigidum, 1482 nucleotides. RefSeq lists it as uncharacterized. Lineage: Eukaryota; Viridiplantae; Streptophyta; Magnoliopsida; Poales; Poaceae. The transcript has 2 exons. The record is from RefSeq and is a predicted model, not a curated record.
GCAUACGCAAGUCAACUCUCAGGCUCUGUUGCUCUUGCACGACUCUCCUAUUCCCCUUCCUCUUCUCUAUUCCGCGGAAAAACAUCUCCUCUGAUUCAGCUUACCUCCGCCACCUCCGGCGUUGCUGCACACCGACGCGAGUUCGCCUCGGUCCUAGAGUUCUCCGCUGAUUACCCGCCGCUGAUGCGUUUUGCCAUUGCACGAACCCCGUGGCAAACCCUAGACGCCCGCGUCGGUGAUAUGGCGUGGGCUAGCCAUGGGCAGCGGCUGGGCCCUGCCUGCGCUGCACCCCGACGACCUGCUCCUAUGAACACUCGCGCUAUCUCCGCAUCCCUACCUCGGCUGGCCUCUCGUGUUGAUGCUGGAUUUAUCCAAUGAUGUUGCUCAGCGACAUCCUCAUUGACUCCGGCGUCGAUAGGACAGCGCUGUUGUGGCCUCAAUUGACAGUUAUAUCGAAAUCUCCGUAAACCUCCGUGGCUCCGUUUCUUUACUGGUGAGGCGCCUAUGCUUCUCACCGUGAUAUUCUUGGCGAUGUACCUGCACCGCGGUGGUGGAGAAGGAGAAUCAGGCCAUGUACGCCGCCAUCGAGAGAUUCGUUGGAAAAUGUUGGAACGGCUCCGGCCUCUUCUCACCCUUGCAGCAAGACUCCCAUCCAGCGUUCAGGCCAAUGAAGAUUGGAGCACCGACACAUGGGAGGAAAAUAAUGUUGGUUAGGCCACUGAGACAUCACAUCAGAGGGCACUGUGACAUUGAGGUUCUGGCACAAGAUUUGCAUUUGGCGCUGCAAGGGCACUGGCAUUCUUCCACCAUGGUUGCAUUCCACAGAUCGUCCACCGGGAGUUGAAGGUAAGAAACAUCUACUUCAACUUCUAUAUGGAGCCUAGAUUUUCUGAUUUUGAGUCAUCAAAGAUCGAUGGGACUAGCACAAACGAGGAUCUGCUGCACCAUUCUCCUGGCUAUGCUCCGGCAGAAUUCUCAAAUUCAAAGGACGCUAAGUCUGAUGGCAUCAUGCUGUUUGAGCUGAUCACCGGCAACGAGCCACUGGGUGAUGACUGAUGAGUCCCCUUACCGGAAGGAGGCGAACCUGGUAAACUUGGUGGGGCCAAUGUUUAGGGAAAACCAAGGUCGAGCAUCAUCGAUGUGAAGAUCUGUGACAUGGGGAUAAGUGAAGGAUUGCCUACCUUUGCACUGCUGAGCUGCCAUCCAAGAGGCCACUCAGAUCGUUGGCCUGCUCAAGGACACUGAACCUAAAGUAGCAGAGCAGAACUGAGAUGAUUUAUUGGUACUAAAUUUUGUGUGUAAGCAGUGAGCUCCUAGCUGUUUCGCCUUUUGGAGCUCACCAUGCCAUGUCCUGCUCUUCUUCCGAGACAGUGUAUUUCUUCUUCUUUUCUCUUCUUGAUUAAUUGUUCCUCCUGUUAAGAUGUUGCAAUAUAGCUUGCCACAAUAUUACCAUGAGUUAUUAUAUAUGAAAGCCCUCAUCAA